UACGGGGGGGGCGAGCGUUGUUCGGAAUUAUUGGGCGUAAAGGGCGCGUAGGCGGUGUGGUAAGUCUGAUGUGAAAUCCCCGGGCUCAACCUGGGAACUGCAUCUGUGACUGCAUCGCUGGAGUGCGGCAGAGGGGGAUGGAAUUCCGCGUGUAGCAGUGAAAUGCGUAGAUAUGCGGAGGAACACCGAUGGCGAAGGCAAUCCCCUGGGCCUGCACUGACGCUCAUGCACGAAAGCGUGGGGAGCAAACAGG
RNAcentral lists this ribosomal RNA (253 nucleotides) under uncultured bacterium. RNAcentral describes it as "partial 16S ribosomal RNA". It matches the Rfam family "Bacterial small subunit ribosomal RNA", at positions 524 to 776 of the family's 1533-position model. The record is from RNAcentral.